RNAcentral lists this ribosomal RNA (253 nucleotides) under uncultured bacterium. RNAcentral's name for it is "partial 16S ribosomal RNA". It matches the Rfam family "Bacterial small subunit ribosomal RNA", at positions 524 to 776 of the family's 1533-position model. The record is from RNAcentral.
UACGUAGGUGGCAAGCGUUGUCCGGAAUUAUUGGGCGUAAAGCGCGCACAGGCGGCCUUUUAAGUCUGAUGUGAAAGCCCACGGCUCAACCGUGGAAGGUCAUUGGAAACUGAAGGGCUUGAGUACAGAAGAGGAAAGCGGAAUUCCACGUGUAGCGGUGAAAUGCGUAGAGAUGUGGAGGAACACCAGUGGCGAAGGCGGCUUUCUGGUCUGUAACUGACGCUGAGGCGCGAAAGCGUGGGGAGCAAACAGG